UGGGAAAAGCCAGGAAUAGCACCAAUGCAGAGAGAAAGCAGCUGGUGAGCGCCGCAGUAGCUUCAUUGGAACUCUUGCUUUGGGGACCAUGGAUUUCUGGGUGAUUCAAAUGACAAAUACUUGCACCUGCACACUUGCAGAACAGAACCAAAGAAGGACGCUCAAAAGAGAGGAACCACCAGGAACAAAGGGCAGCACCAGCAAGGCAAUGCUCCAUUCUGCAGCCUCUCUGCCUGGCUCUAUGGACUUCUGCAUUCAA
This is a long non-coding RNA of Lagopus leucura (white-tailed ptarmigan), 259 nucleotides long. RefSeq lists it as uncharacterized. The record is from RefSeq and is a predicted model, not a curated record. NCBI's taxonomy places the organism in Eukaryota, Metazoa, Chordata, Aves, Galliformes, Phasianidae. The transcript has 3 exons.